RNAcentral lists this ribosomal RNA (460 nucleotides) under uncultured bacterium. Its description in RNAcentral is "partial 16S ribosomal RNA". It matches the Rfam family "Bacterial small subunit ribosomal RNA", at positions 338 to 795 of the family's 1533-position model. The record is from RNAcentral.
CCUACGGGAGGCAGCAGUGAGGAAUAUUGGUCAAUGGGCGCGAGCCUGAACCAGCCAAGCAGCGUGAAGGAUGACUGCCCUACGGGUUGUAAACUUCUUUUAUAAAGGAAUAAAGUGAGGCACGUGUGCCUUUUUGUAUGUACUUUAUGAAUAAGGAUCGGCUAACUCCGUGCCAGCAGCCGCGGUAAUACGGAGGAUCCGAGCGUUAUCCGGAUUUAUUGGGUUUAAAGGGAGCGUAGAUGGGUUGUUAAGUCAGUGGUGAAAGUUUGAGGCUCAACCGUAAAAUUGCAAUUGAUACUGGCCGGCUUGAGUGCAGUUGAGGUAGGCGGAAUUCGUGGUGUAGCGGUGAAAUGCUUAGAUAUCACGAAGAACACCGAUUGCGAAGGCAGCUUACUAAACUGCCACUGACAUUGAUGCUCGAAAGUGUGGGGAGCAAACAGGAUUAGAUACCCGAGUAGUC